Malus domestica (apple) is the source of this 923-nucleotide non-coding RNA. The record is from RefSeq and is a predicted model, not a curated record. NCBI's taxonomy places the organism in Eukaryota, Viridiplantae, Streptophyta, Magnoliopsida, Rosales, Rosaceae.
UUCUUUCUCAUGUUUGGAUCAUCUCUUAUGCUCACUAAUCACGCUUGUGCUGCUCUCCAAUUUCAACUCAUUUGGAUCAACUCUUAAAAUUUCUGUUACUUUCGUUGAAUUUUAAUCUAAUGCCGGCUUUCCUCUGGAGAUUUAAAGGCGACAUUUGAGAAUAUAUGUGUCGUUAACAUGGGAGUCCGAUAGUUAUACCACGAAAUAGAACCAUUUUUUGAAUCAUUUGUACGUGUUUACUUACAACGAGUGAAAACUUUGGGUGACCCAGUUUGAGAGAGAGAUCAUUAAAGCUUUGACGUUGGGUUUGCAAUUUAGUUAUCUCGGGGAUGUAAGUUCAUAAUCCUUGCUUGAGAUUAAUCGUACUGUUGUUGCCUCCCUCAUCUUGUAGAUUAGUCUUCUGUUAUAUCAGUAUCUCAAAAGUGGAAAUGUCCACAGCAGAUUUUAAUUUCAACGUUGAACUUUUAUGGCCAAGUUUUUUGUGAUAUAUGUGCAUUAAUCAUAACUGAUGCUUUGCAAGUUCCGAACGGCGAAUGCCCGUAAUCGUCAAGCUGAAACAAAGAAUCGAACACUACCAUGUAACAUGUCAAGUAUCUACAACGAUCGAGCCUAAUGCGGACGCAGAGUGUUCAAAAAGCUUGGGAAAAUCCAUCUGAGUUGUGGCUCAUUUCAAUCUGAGAGACUGAUUAACCCUAAAAUCUUCAGGCGCUUGAGCAACAUUGAUUGCCUAGUUAAUGAUGGCAACCCUAUUGCAUAUGGUGCAACUGUCUCUUUUCAGUAUGUCGCACCAAACCGGUUCCCUCUUGAUGUUUCCUCCCUCUCUUGCUCAAAUUAAUGUCUUCAAUAUGUACUCACACAAAGUAGUAGUGCUACAAUGUAUGAACUGCAGAAGUGGAUAAUGAGGAAGAUUCGUUUUUAUUGGA